GACGAACGCUGGCGGCGUGCUUAACACAUGCAAGUCGAACGGAAAGGCCCUGCUUUUGUCGGGUGCUCGAGUGGCGAACGGGUGAGUAACACGUGAGUGACCUGCCCUUGACUUUGGGAUAACUUCAGGAAACUGGGGCUAAUACCGGAUAGGUGCUCCUGCUGCAUGGUGGGGGUUGGAAAGUUCCGGCGGUUGGGGGUGGACUGGCGGCUUAUCAGCUUGUUGGUGGGGUAGUGGCUUACCAAGGCUUUGACGGGUAGCCGGCCUGAGAGGGUGACCGGCCACAUGGGUACUGAGAGAGGGCCCAGAGGCCAACGUGAGGCAGCGGUGGGAAAUCUUGCACAAUGAGCGGAAGCCUGAUGCAGCAACGCCGCGUUCGGGAUGACGGCCUUCGGGUUGUAAACCGCUUUCGCCUGUGACGAAGCGUGAGUGACGGUAAUGGAUAAAGAAGCACCGGCUAACUACGUG
Molecule: ribosomal RNA, 468 nt
Filed under: uncultured bacterium
Lineage: Bacteria
Description: partial 16S ribosomal RNA
Rfam family: Bacterial small subunit ribosomal RNA
Source: RNAcentral